This 461-nucleotide ribosomal RNA is filed under the name uncultured bacterium. Its description in RNAcentral is "bacterial SSU rRNA". It matches the Rfam family "Bacterial small subunit ribosomal RNA", at positions 29 to 483 of the family's 1533-position model. The record is from RNAcentral.
AAUGAACGCUGGCGGCGCGCCUAAUACAUGCAAGUCGAGCGAGAAGACGUAGCAAUACGUUUGUAAAGCGGCGAACGGGUGAGGAAUACAUGGGUAACCUACCCUCGAGUGGGGAAUAACUAGCCGAAAGGUUAGCUAAUACCGCGUACGCUUCUUGGACUUCGGUUCAGGGAGGAAAGCGAUACCGUGGGUAUCGCGCUCUUGGAUGGGCUCAUGUCCUAUCAGCUUGNGGUGAGGUAACGGCUCACCAAGGCUUCGACGGGUAGCUGGUCUGAGAGGACGAUCAGCCACACUGGCACUGCGACACGGGCCAGACUCCUACGGGAGGCAGCAGUAAGGAAUAUUGCGCAAUGGGCGAAAGCCUGACGCAGCGACGCCGCGUGGGGGAUGAAGGUCUUCGGAUUCGUAAACCCCUUUCGGGAGGGAAGAUGGAACGAGCAAUCGUUCGGACGGUACCUCCA